RNAcentral lists this ribosomal RNA (478 nucleotides) under uncultured bacterium. RNAcentral describes it as "partial 16S ribosomal RNA". It matches the Rfam family "Bacterial small subunit ribosomal RNA", at positions 28 to 507 of the family's 1533-position model. The record is from RNAcentral.
GAUGAACGCUGGCGGCGUGCUUAACACAUGCAAGUCGAACGGGAAUUAUUUUAUUGGAACUUCGGUCGAUUUAAUUUAAUUCUAGUGGCGGACGGGUGAGUAACGCGUGGGUAACCUGCCUUAUACAGGGGGAUAACAGUCAGAAAUGGCUGCUAAUACCGCAUAAGCGCACAGAGCUGCAUGGCUCAGUGUGAAAAACUCCGGUGGUAUAAGAUGGACCCGCGUUGGAUUAGCUGGUUGGUGGGGUAACGGCCCACCAAGGCGACGAUCCAUAGCCGGCCUGAGAGGGUGAACGGCCACAUUGGGACUGAGACACGGCCCAGACUCCUACGGGAGGCAGCAGUGGGGAAUAUUGCACAAUGGGGGAAACCCUGAUGCAGCGACGCCGCGUGAAGGAAGAAGUAUCUCGGUAUGUAAACUUCUAUCAGCAGGGAAGAUAGUGACGGUACCUGACUAAGAAGCCCCGGCUAACUACGUG